AAGAGAGGUGCUGUAGCUGGGCUUCCUAACCCUCCAGUCUGUAGCGCGGCCUGCACUUUCCUCAGGCUCUGACAGCUCUGAGGACAGGACACCGUACCCAAGCUCUCCCUCAGCCUCUGGGCUUCUCUCACAGCUCUACUUUUCCCCAUGAUGGUUGCCUCCAGAGCAGACUUCAUCUGUCUUUAUCACAUGAUCUCUGGGGGGCCAUUUUCCCCUUUCCAAAAUGGCUGCCUCUGGAGUGGGUUUCUAUCACAUGGUCUCCCAGGAGCCAUGCUGCCCCAUGCUGCUUCCUGGCUGAGUUCACCCUGGGACCUUGUUCUCUCAGAAUGAAAAAGAAAUCCAGAGAUAUUGCUUCACAGAGAAGGGACAGAACCUAAUCUUCAAAUAACUCACUUUCCCUUUCCUGAUUUAACUAAAGCUCACAUCCUAGCUGCUGAUGAAGACUGGUCUCUAUGCAUGGAUCUAUGAUUUUGAAAGGAGUGAAAGAGUCUCCAAGGGUGUGAAAUUGGAGAGAGAGACUUGGAGCAGCUACUAGACAGCAAAAUUAUCCUUAGAAAAAAUAGCAUGAGAAAUCAGGAACAACUCAGUUUCCUGCUCCACAGAAAUGAACAGAGUCAGAGAUUGAAUGAAAGGGAGAGUGCAAACUGAAGUCAAGAAGUUAAGAGAGAUGAACUUUAGUGCUGUUGGAUAUAGGGGAACAUUCUUAAAGGUUAAUGAAAGUGAUGCAGUGCAUAUAUUCCACAAGUCCUGUGAAGUAGCUGUUUUUAUAAAAUAGAAGUAGUCUGUCUUCUGAGAAUGUAAAGAAGUCUGGCACUUAUAAAAAUCAUAUCAAGUAUACAAAGAGCUGUUUUGAUAUUUGUAUUAACUGAGAGAAUUAAGUUUAUUCCUGUUUUAGGCUUAACACUGGGAGUUACUUGUGAAGGUUCUCACUGCAUUUUUGUGGGGGUGUGGUAGUUCUCUUUUUUCAUUUUUUAUCUUAUAUACUAUUUUGCCCUAGAAUCUCUUCCUGAAUGUGAAGUGAUUCCUGGUUUUAGUUGCAAUUAUUACUGGUAUUACAGUAGUCAUGGCUUUCAGUGAUACCUCUUCCAUGUCCCACUCAACUCAAGAAUUUAACACGGACAGGUUGCUUUAUUCUCAAUGACAAGUUAUGAUUACUGUUUCUGUUCUGUCUCUUUUGCAAGAUGUGUAUUGUUACGGUGUUUCUAUUGAUCUUUGGGCAAUGUUGGUCUGCUUCAGAACUGCAUUUAUGGUGACUUCUACUGUGCUAGGAAUCUAAUAGAAAAUUAGGCCCAUUUAAUUUCCUUUAAAUAAGAUUGUGAGAGUUCGUAAAGGGUAUCAUUUAUAAAAACUGUUGUUAAAUGAACUGGGAAUGGAUGGUAAAUGGAAUAAAUCAGUUCCUCUCAUCUAAAUCCAGUACAUUCUGAACCAACACUUUGUUACUUAAGGAAUCAGAAGGUGAAAUGUUCUGCCAGAACUGAUUUUUACAUAACUUUUGACUACAUACCAAUGAAUAGUCCUGUCUGUGUCUUUUUUGGGAUCCCUUCAUU
Long non-coding RNA from Alligator mississippiensis (American alligator), 1547 nucleotides. RefSeq lists it as uncharacterized. Lineage: Eukaryota; Metazoa; Chordata; Crocodylia; Alligatoridae. The transcript has 4 exons. The record is from RefSeq and is a predicted model, not a curated record.